This 115-nucleotide ribosomal RNA is filed under the name Cordylochernes scorpioides. The record is from RNAcentral. Lineage: Eukaryota; Metazoa; Arthropoda; Arachnida; Pseudoscorpiones; Chernetidae.
AGGGCCAUACCACAUUGAAAACACCGGUUCUCGUUCGAUCACCGAAGUUAAGCAAUGUCGGGCCCGGUCAGUACUUGGGAGGGUGACCACCUGGGAACACCGGGUGCUGUAGGAU